CUUGGAAAAGCGCUCAGGGAAAAAAAUGCGCUCGCGGAUGUUUGAUUUUUGAUUUGAUUUGAUGUUUGAUUUAUGGCAGUAUUCUAUGCCCAUACUCCUUCCUCUUUCUGUGAGGAUCCAGACUGAUGUGAAAUGAAAUCCCACACUGAGGGAUUUGUGCUGAGUUUCCUAAAGUACAACCUGAUUUAUAUGACUUGAACCAAAUAAGAUGUAUUAAUGUAUGUAAGUACCACUUCAUAUAUACAAAUGAGUAUUCUUCUAUUUUUGAUUCUUCCUGCAGGUGUAGAACGAGUCCCUGUACCUACAGAUGCAUUCUACAUGGUAGAAUGUCCAGGUGGAUCAAACCCAAAUGAUCCCACAUAUUACACCAUCCCCGACCUUCAACCAAUGAAAAAGGCGACCGGUAAAGACUUUAUAGUCAUUUAUAACCAAAUAUUCUGUUGAUAUACUUCUGAAGACAAAACAGUUCAUAUUCAUCAAAUUAUCAUUUUUCCUCACAGAAACUUCUGGACCUGAUGAGUCCCUGUACUCUGAGAUCUGCGAGACUUUCAUCGGUGGAAAUAAUAAUAAAGGUAACUUUAAGCUUCAGCUCCCCUGUGAAGUUUAUAACAUGAGAUGCUAAACGAGGCCGAUUGUAUUUUUUGUUAUUCCAAAUAAAGCAAAAUAAAACGAGAGAACGAACAAAGUGGAAAUCUACAAAAACUACC
RNAcentral lists this long non-coding RNA (707 nucleotides) under Sparus aurata (gilthead seabream). RNAcentral's name for it is "lncRNA (ENSSAUG00010001058.1)". Lineage: Eukaryota; Metazoa; Chordata; Actinopteri; Spariformes; Sparidae. The record is from RNAcentral.